RNAcentral lists this ribosomal RNA (504 nucleotides) under uncultured bacterium. Its description in RNAcentral is "partial 16S ribosomal RNA". It matches the Rfam family "Bacterial small subunit ribosomal RNA", at positions 30 to 523 of the family's 1533-position model. The record is from RNAcentral.
AUUGAACGCUGGCGGCAGGCCUAACACAUGCAAGUCGAACGGUAGCACAGAGAGCUUGCUCUCGGGUGACGAGUGGCGGACGGGUGAGUAAUGUCUGGGAAACUGCCCGAUGGAGGGGGAUAACUACUGGAAACGGUAGCUAAUACCGCAUAACGUCGCAAGACCAAAGUGGGGGACCUUCGGGCCUAACACCAUCGGAUGUGCCCAGAUGGGAUUAGCUAGUAGGUGGGGUAAUGGAUCACCUAGGCGACGAUCCCUAGCUGGUCUGAGAGGAUGACCAGCCACACUGGAACUGAGACACGGUCCAGACUCCUACGGGAGGCAGCAGUGGGGAAUAUUGUACAAUGGGCGCAAGCCUGAUGCAGCCAUGCCGCGUGUAUGAAGAAGGCCUUCGGGUUGUAAAGUACUUUCAGCGGGGAGGAAGGCGGUGAAGUUAAUAACUUCACCGAUUGACGUUACCCGCAGAAGAAACACCGGCUAACUCCGUGCCAGCCGCCGCGGUAA